AACUGUAAAUCAAGAAAAAUAAACCUCAUAUUCAAUAAAAUUAAUAUAAAAAGAGCUAGGACAACAACAUGCAACAAUAAAUAAUAAAGAAAUUAUAUAAUUAUUAAUUACGUACCGCAACCAAAAGAUGGAAGGUUGCACUGAGAAGUAAGUUGAGAAGCGAUUCUAAGAGUGUUACAGAGACAAUCACGGUUGGUUGCUUGAAGUGCAUUGCAGCAAUCAGCACUAGGGUCAGUGUUGGAUGCACCAGGCACAACAAAUGGUGCACAAACAUUCAGAUUGGUAAGCUGAACUGGACAACUAUUACUCUGUGCCUCACCCAUUUUCACAUGAGUUCCUAAUGCCACAGCCAAAAGUAGCAUCACUGCAACUUGACACCUCAUUGAAACAAUACCUGCCAUGAUAAUUUUCUAGUUAUUAAACUUGUUUAUCAAAGGUAUGUGAUGUAUGACAUGAAAUGUCCCCAAUUUAUAGUUCAUUGUGUUGAAAACUUGGUUAUUUUCAUGAGUGACCUAACUAGAGUUUUUCGGCUCACAAUAUUUGUGUUGAAAUUGAAAAGCCAGCAUGACACUAUUGGAAGGAUUAAAUUCAUCGAAAUAUCACACAAGAAAGACAUCACGCUUUAAAAACAAUUUUUUUUUAUAUUUUUAAAAAUGAUUUUUUUUUUAAAUAUUACAAUAUUUUAUUACAUAAAUAUAUUAUUGAACAUUAAAGCACAAUCAUAAUCGUAUUUUAAAAAAAAAAUAUAUUUCAAAAUAAAUUUUAUGAAAAAUUAUUUGAAAUAAAUUCAAAACUAAAGUAAUUUUUUUAAAAUUUCAUAUUUAAGAAUUUUUUUUAAUAAAAUGAUGAUAUACUUAAAAUAAUAUUUAAGAAUAACUAUUCAAACUAAAUUUUUAUAAAAAAAAAAUUUAUAUAUUUUUUUAAACAAAAAUAUAUAAAACUAUAGGAAUUAAUUUAAAGAAAAAUAAAUAAAUUGACCUUUAAUUUAAAAUGGAAGUGGUUCUUCAAGUGGAGAAAGUUCUAGCUCAAGCGAGGAAUCGGCAAAGAUAUGUUACAUGACCAACAAAGGAAAGAAAAAGAAUGUAAGUCACUUUAAGCCUAAAUCUACUAAUGACUUAUCUUAUUCUCAAUUGCAAGAAUAUUUUGAAAAUCUACAAAGACAAAUCAUAGAAGCUUUCAAAAAGCUUGCUUCAAACAAAAUUUUCUUUUCUCAUUUGCGAGCUAAAAUGUUGGAAAAUGAAAAGAAUAUGGAAGCUCUAAGAAAAUACAUGAUAGAUAUGUUAAAAGAUAAAUGUGAUGAUAAUAAAACCUCAUGGUUUGGGAGUGAGACUUGUCAUAUUUGACAAAAAUAAUCAAGAGAUCUUAAAGCCAAGUCGAACAAGACUUUGCAACCCAAAGUCACUUUUGCUAUUGACACUUUAAAAUAUGACAUGCCUUCUCAUAAUCUUUAUAGAAGGUAUAAUUAUAUUGAAAAGAGUUCAAAUAGCAAAAAAGUAUCUUCUCACAAUGUUUAUUGCCAUUAUUGUUGCACGAAGGGUCAUACCACUGUAAAGUGUAACUUUAAGAGACUCUUGGUCCCCAAUGACACUCAUCAAUGGUUGCCUAAAUGCAACCAAGAUUUCACUAAUCGUCAAGGACCCAAUGAAGAUUAGGCACCUAGCACUAGUCGUUGAUCUUGAAAGAUAAAUGUCUUGGCACUAUGAAGAGAGUAUGAGAUCUCGUUCGUGGAAGCUCAAGAGAUAAUACUUGUGACACUUCUCUAUUUCUUGACUUUGUGACAAAGAAGAUAGAAUGUGUUACUAAAGAGGUUAAUGGUAAGUGCUCUUUUAAUUAGUAAAAGUGUAUUGACUAUUACUAAUUAAUUCUAUCCGAGAAGUGUCGGAAAAGGGUAUUGUUCUUAAUGAUGUAGGUUAUCUUCGACAAAGACAUACUCAAGUUCAUCAAAUUAGGGAUUAAUCAACCUAAAAUGAGAAAUGUGAGGAGGAGCAAGAUGAUUGUCAUAAUUGAACAAGAUUGAAAUUCCAGCUAUUACGAUAUUCAUUAAGUUAAUGAGAUUCUUGGUUACAUUAUUAAUAACACUCUCAAAUACUUGUACAAAGAGAAAAGUGGUAAGAUCAUUUUGGUUAUGUUUGUGUUUGUGACACUUAUUGCGUUCAUUUCAACUUUCGUUCGAAAGUCUCUCGUGGAAUACUUGUGCAUCCUUCGUAUGAUCCGUAUGAUGAUGUUAUAUCGUUUCAAUCCUUUUUCUUAUUUCGUGAGUCAGUAUUUCUUUACUUGUUUAUUUUUUUAAGGUAUAUAAUGUAGUAUGUGUAUGACAUGUGUAGUAUUUGUUCACUUCCAAAAAUUUCAAUGCAACCAUUGUGUGUUUCAUUUCAUAUGUUUAUAGUGGCUAUAUACUAAGUGUCAUCAUACUUGAUCUAUAUCUUUUACCAUUUCAUGCUUACUGUUGUGUUUGUAUGUUAAUUGCUUUGAAAUAAUUAAAUCAUUGCAUAUGCAUAGUCUCUUAUUCAUUACUCAUGAAUAAGUCAUUGUGAGUCAUCAAAAAUUAUCUCAUAAGUCAUAAAUGUGAAUUUUUUCAAGUUUUGUCCAUAAUGCACCGACACGUGGUCGUAUAAGUCGAUGCACAAUUUUGAAUUUUUGUAUUUGUCAAAAAUACUUUAGGAUGUCUCGGCACAUCCGUGGAUAGGUCGGCCUAUAGAAUUAAUUUUUCUAUUCUUGAUUAAACGCUUCAGUAUAUGCUGACACAUAACUUUAACAGGUCGGCACAUUAACUCAGAGGUCGACUCAUAUUCUAUCUUUAGUCCAAAACUCUUCAUUUCACAUUCAUGUAUCCAAAGCUCUCAAAUCUCCAAGCUUCAUCUCAUCUCAUAAUAGUCAUUCAAUCUCAUUAAAUCUUAUUUGUCUCUCUCAAUCCAUUGCAUCUUUAUUCACAUUUUCAUCAAAUCUCUUCCAUUUAUCUUAUUUUUCUCUCUUGUUCUUUCAAAAGCCCUCUUUUCACCCUAAGUCACAAAAGUUCCAAGUUCUUACUUGUUUUUGGAUUAUCUUCUCAUCUUUGUGUGUUGCUGUGAUUGUGUGUCUUGCUUGAGUGUGUGGAUAUUCAAAAAUAUUUCAUACUCAUUCAUUCUUCAUUCAAACAUUUCAUCAAACAUCUGGUAUGCACACUUUCAUUUCAAUUUUUUCCAUGGCUUCAAAGAUUUCUAAGUACAAGAUUGAUGCUAAGGGUAAAAUCAAGGCUACUACCUCUACUAUUGUUGCUGAAAAAUCCAUUUACUUUGGUUUCCAAGAAGUAUGUCAAGGAUUUUGAGUUAAAGCACCAAACUCGUCUUGUAGUGAAACAAUUUAUGUGGAAGCAGGUUACAGUUGGCUGUUUGAAUAUACCUGAUGUUGUUAAGCUUGUUGAGCAUCAACAAGAUUACAAUAAGGAUAUUAUUAGUGUAUUCUACUCAGGUCUACAUGAAAAACAAGGUUCUUUCUUUAGGUUUUCGAUAGGUAACAAAGUUUAUCAAUUUACCAACGAUUUACGGAAAACUUUGUUUGGGAUUACUGUGGGUGAUGUUGAUGCGGAUGAUGAGGUUGAUCUGUUGGUAAAUGAUCUUUACACUCAUAUAAAUUUUAAUUGGAGUGUUCAUUUGAAUGAGAUACUAAAGUCUCCUCGUGCCGAGGACUAUUAUGAUCCUAUUACCACUGAUCAUUUCAAGAUGGUGCCAAAAAAUCUGCUAUGGGGGGUAUCUCAUAUCUUGAGGCCAAAGAAUGAUGUGUUUUCGAGAAUUGACAAUGUUGAGAUUCAUUAGGUAUACAUUCUGCUGCAUAAGGUCAAAAUUAACUGGCUUCACUACUUUGUGUCUCGUAUGUUCUCUAUCAAAAAAUACAACAAGGGCACAUCUUUUUGAUAUCCCUCUAUGAUUACUAAGAUUCUAAACUACUUUGACAUUGGUUUGCCGAAUCUCACCUACAAAUCUCUUGCUUCUUCUCAAGAAUUUUCUCACCGUACACAGGUUAACAUGAACUUCGUUUGGGAUGUAAAUCAUCAGGAGUACUAUAUACUCUUGGGUAAGCAUGGAAGGAAGGUGUACAAUUUUGAUGAUCCUAUUGAGUGCGGUGAUGAUGCAGCCGAUGCUCACAUGGAUGAUGAGAAACCUAUGGGGGUUCAUCAUGAUGGUACGGAAGGAGAUGAUGUAAUGCAUGAUUCUCCCCGAGGUGAUGAUCAUGGUGCAGGUUUUGGUACUAAUUAUGCUGAUACUUCCUCUAUUAUGACUAUGCUUCAGGAUAUGCAGACGAAAUAAGACGAGAGAUAUGAUGAGGACUGCAAGUGGCGAGACACAUUUGAAGCUGCAUAAAUGGAGCAAUUAUGUCUGAUGCAGCAACACAUGCCUACUCAAGAUUCCAACUUUGAGGUUUUUGCUUCAUAUGUGAUUUAGUCUUUGGUGUCCUUACGAACUGAUAUGAAUGCUAAUCAUGUUGUUGUUCUAGCCAGGAUUAAUCAUAUGAUUUCAGCCCAAGAAAAAGAUUUUGCGCAUUAUGAAAGGUUUUGCCGUGAAAUGUAUGAUUUCUUGGAUUCUCAGUAUCGCGGUGAAGGACAAGGCUGACAUAGGGGUAUGUCAAGAGGACGUGGGAGGAGAUAAAGUGGAGCUAGACUAAUAUGUUGUGAUAGUGUCUUGGUUUUUAUUUUGUGUCAGUUAGCAUUAAGUCAAAUCAUGUGUGGAGUAUGCAUGCAUUUGUAUUUUGGAUUAUGGUUUGUUUAGCUUUUGGUUCGCAAUUACUACUUAAUUGUUUGAUGUUUAGAAAAUGAUGGUUAUAUGGUUGUUGUGUUAAAUGAUUAUGGCUAUUGUUUUGUUUUUGUUUAUUAAUCUUGUGUGAUUUCAUAUAUUUGAGAGCAUUUCUUAUCUUUGCAAUUUCCUAUGUAUUGUAUAUUGAAUAUGUAAUACUCCUAAUAGAGUGCUUUGCCUCUUUUUGAUGUUGUCAAAGGGGGAGAAAUAUAUGAUACACAUGCACACACUUAGGGGGAGAUUUUCAUAUGAUGCACAUGCACACACUCAGGGGGAUCUUUCCAUGAACAAGAACGCAUCGUCUCAAGUUUUGGCAUCAUAAAAAAGGGGAAGUAUAUGAGUGCAUUCUUCCGUUUAGAUAUGUUUUGAAUGAUGUCAAAACUAGGAAAUGUUGGUGAUUUUAGUAUCACCCAUGAUUUUAGUAGUAAUGAGAUUUACUAUAGGCCGAUGCAAUUAUGCGUUAAAGCUUGGAAACGAGUUAGGAGUAGUGCGGAGUGCACGCUCGUAGAGCCCUAACGUUGAAUUGACUGCAAGUAAUUGAAAACGGGGUUCCAAGGGGCGUAGCCCCUGGCGGGUGCGGGGCAGCGCCCCGCUGGGGUUCCAAGGGGCGAAGCCCCUGGCGGGGUGCGGGGCAGCGCCCUGCGGGGUCCAAGCCGUUAUUACCGUUUUCUUGAAAAGGUAUGACUUUUCGUUUUCAGUUUUCGUUCUCCUAAUAAAGGGGAAAUCUGGCCCGGUUUAGGGUUACACACAAAAAACCAUUCUACGUUCCAGAAUCUUUCUUUUGCCAGAACAUUCUUUCUUCAAGAAUUAUCCCACAAAGAUUUCGUGAACCCAGGCAUAAAUAGGGUCGAAAUACUUUGUUCGGAAAGUGAACGAACACGAUUCUUCGAAGAUUAUCCAGGAUUAUCAAUUAAUUAUCUAACAAACGAACAAAGUAUUCAUCUGAUAAUCAUGGCUGGAGGAAACACCGUCAAGGAGAUGACCAGAAAUUUCGGAAAAUUGGACAAGUUUCAAGGACAAGAUUUCAGGCGUUGGCAGAAGAGAUGCAUUUCAUGUUGACAACGUUGAAGGUGGUGCAUGUCCUAUCUACACCGAUCCAGAAAUUCGGGAAGAUGACACAGUUGAAAUCUGAGACGCAGAUCAAAGUGGGAGAACGACGACUACUUGCAGAGGGCACAUCUUAACGGUAUGUCUGAUCCCUUAUUUGAUUUACCAAAACAUAGAAUCUGCAAAGUCUCGAAUCUGCAAUACAUGGCAGAGGACUCAUCCAGUAAAAAGUUUUCUGACGAUUUCAACAACUACAAAAUGGUUGAAUCAAGUCUGUCAUGGAACAAUUUAAUGAACUCCUCCGAAUCCUUGGACAGUUCACACUACACGGAUUAAAUAUGGAUGAAACAAUAUCUGUCUCAAGCAUCAUAGACAAGUUGCCUCUUCGUGGAAAGAUUUCAAACACAAUCUGAAACAUGGAAAAGACGAACUGUCUUCGAUCCAACUUGGAAGUCACUUGCGCAUAGAAGAAUCUCUAAGAGCGCAGGAGAAACAAAGGAAAGCAAAGAAAUUGCUGGAACCCUCGGUUAAUAGAUCGAAGAGGUGUGGAACGGUAACAACAAAAACAAAGGAAAGAAGCAUGCUUUCAAGGACAAUAAGGGAAGUUUCGGUGCUAACAAGAAACCGAAAUUAGAAUGCUGGAGUGUGGUAAAACAGGCCACUUCAAGAGGGAUUGUCGCUUCGUUAAAAAGCACGAUAACGCGAAUGCAGUGGUCAGGAAAGGGGUCUAAGGACCAAUCCGAAAACCAAGGUCAGAAAUCAAUUCGUGAUUUGAAUAGUUUAAUUAAACAUUCUGUUCACUAAAUUCUGAAGCAUUUUAUGUGCAGGAUGAUGCUACCGAUGGUGGAUUGAUUCUGGCGCCACUACACAUGUUUGCAAGGAUCGUUUCUGGUUCAAGACUUUUGUUCCAGUGGAAGAUGGUUCUGUCCUCUACAUGGGAGAUGAUCACUUCGCUCCCGUUGAGGCAAAGGAAACGUGUGUAGAAUUCAGUUCCGGAAAAACUAUACUUUGUUUAAUGUUUGUAGUUCCUAAAUUACGAAAGAAUUAAUUUCUGGCCCUGUAUUAAAUAAGCUUGGAUACAAGCAAGUGUAUGAAUCAGAUAAAUAUGUAUUAUCAAAGUCUGGUGUGUUUGGAUAUUAUAAUAAUGGUAUGUUUAUGAUGAAUUUGAAUGGAGUUCCUAAUGAUUCUGGUUCUGUAUUUAUGUCCUCUUCGAAUAUUAUCAAUUCUUCGUUAUGGCAUGCUCGUCUAGGACAUGUACAUUAUAAAGAAUGCAUGAAAUGUCUAAAGAUAAAUAUUCCUAAUCUUGAUAAAAUGUAGAAAAGUGUAAAACUUGCAUGUUAACUAAGAUAACUAGGCAACCAUUUAAAAGUAUAACAAGGAAAUCUGUCAUUCUUGAGUUGAUACAUAGUGAUUUAUGUGAUUUACAUGCUACUCCAUCAUUAGGGCAUAAAAAAUUUUGUCACUUUCAUAGAUGACACAUCUAGAUUCUGCUAUGUCAUUUGUUGCACGCUAAGGACGAAGCCUUAGAUAAAUUCAAAAUUAUAAAACUGAAGUUAAGUGCAACAGAAUGUGUUGAUUAAAACAUUACGCACAGAUAGAGGUGGUGAAUAUUAUGAUCCUGUGUUUUCCAAUCCGUAGGAAUCAUUCAUGAGACUACGGCUACUUACACACCUCAACAAAAUGGUGUGGCUGAAAGGAAAAAUAGAGUGCUAAAAGAAAUGGUGAAUGCAUGUUAUCUUACUCUGGUCUGAGUGAAGGAUUUUGGGAGAAGCCAUGUUAACGGCAUGCUAUUUGUUAAUAGAGUUCCCAAUAAAAGGAACAAAACUACCCCAUAUGAAAUUUGGUAUAAGAAACGACCCAACCUGACAUUUCUACGUGUUUGGGGUUGUAGUGGCCUGGUUAGACUCCCGGACCCAAAAAGGAAACUUUGGGUGAAAAGGGUGUAGCUUGCAUCUUUGUUGGAUAUGCCGAGCACUCCAAGGCCUAUAGGUUCUAUGUUAUAGAGCCUAAUGACUCGAUCUCUAUUAACAUAAUUAUAGAAUCGAGAGAUGCCAUAUUUGAUGAGAACUGUUUCUCCUCUGUACCUAGACCAAAGGACUCUAUACCUAUUUCAGAUGAAUCUCUAGAGAUGAUCAUUCAAAUGAUGUGCCAAGUCAAGCACUUGAACCCCGUAGGAGCAAAGAGCUAGAAAAACUAAAUCUUAUGGAUCUGAUUUCUAACUAUAUUUAUUGAGGGAUCAAGGAUCAGAUUGACACUCAAUAUUAUUAUUGCUAUAGUAUUGAAGAGGAUCCAAGAACGUAUGAUGAAGCUAUCAAGUCUCGAGAUUCUGCUUUUUGGAAAGAAGCCAUUGAUGAAGAGAUUGGCUCUAUCAUGGAAAUAAUACUUGGAUACUAUCUGAUUUACCACCAGGUUGCAAACCAUUGGGUUCAAAUGGAUCUUCAAAAAGAAGAUGAAAGUCGAUGGUACAAUUGACAAGUUUAAAGCUAGACUAGUAUCCAAGGCUUCAGACAAAAGGAAGGGAUUGAUUAUUUCGAUACCUAUGCUCCUGUUGCCCGUAUCACUAUUAUUGAUUGUUGAUGCCUUGGCGGCUAUUCAUAAUCUAGUGAUUCACCAAAUGGAUGUCAAAACAGCCUUCCUGAAUGGUCAUUUGGAAGAAGAAGUGUAUAUGAAGCAACCUGAAGGUUUUGUAAUGCCUGGUAAUGAACAUAAAGUGUGUAAACUAUUAAGUCAUUAUAUGGGCUAAAACAAGCUCGAAGCAGUGGCAUCAAAAGUUUGAUGAGGUUGUUUUGUCAAUGGUUUCAUUCUAAACCAAGCUGACAAAUGUGUAUAUAGCAAAUUUGAUACAUCCGGUAAAGGAGUUUUCAUUUGCUUAUAUGUUGAUGACAUGUUGAUCUUUGGCACCGACCAAAAUCAAAUGAUAUAACAAAGAAUUCUUGUCAUCAAAGUCUCCAUGAAAGAUAUGGGAGAAGCGGACGUUAUUCUAGGAAUUAAGUUAAACGGAAAAAAAGGGAUUGUAAUUACGCAAUCUCAUUACAUUGAGAAAAUGCUCAGAAGUUCAAUGUGAAAGUUGUUCUCCAGUAAGUACUCCAAUGGAUCCGGGAGAAAAACUUAUGCCAAAAACGGUAAACCGGUAGAUCAACUCGAAUAUUCAAGGGCUAUAGGCUCUUGAUGUAUGCUAUGAUUAGCACUCGACCGGAUAUUGCUUAUGCGGUUGGAAAGUUGAGCAGAUUUACGAGUAAUCCUAGUCGGCACAUUGCAUGCGAUAACUAGGUAUUCAAGUACUUGAAGGGUACAAUGAAUUAUGGAUUGUCAUAUAUGGGAUUUCCUUCGUGUUAGAGGGUUAUUCGGAUGCUAGUUGGAUAAAUAUGCUGAAGAUUCAUCCUCUACAAGUGGAUGGGUGUUCUUGCUUGGGGAGUGCUAUCUCAUGGGCUUCCAGAAGCAAACAUGUAUAACUGUUCCACAAUGGAAUCUGAGUUUGUAGCAUUAGCUGCUGCUGGUAAAGAAGCAGAAUGGCUAAGGAACUUGGUAUACGAGAUUCCGAUAUGGCCUAAACCGAUAUCACCAAUUUCUAUCCGUUGUGAUAGUACUGCCACAUUGGCUAAAGCUUAUAGUCAAAUAUACAAUGGAAGUCUAGACAUUUGGGUGUCAGACAUAGUAUGAUUAGAGAAUUAAUCAUGAAUGGGGUGAUAUCUAUAGAGUUUGUUCGGUCGCAACAAAACUUAGCUGACCACUUGACAAAGGGUUAGCUAGAGACUUAGUAAAGAAGUCGGUAAUGUGGAUGGAUUAAAGUCCAUUUAAAUCUAUAGCUUUGAUAUACCCAAUUCCCUUCUAAUAUGACGUUAGAAGCAGAAUUCAAUGUGGAAAGAUCAUAGUUAAAGAUUGGAGCAAUUAUAUUUAUCUUCCAGGGUAUGUGCUCAGACCUGCAAGUGAUAGGUAGGUUGAAGUAUAUCUUCUUAAUGGUUUCUUUGAAAAAUUGUAAAUGCAGGUACAAGAUUAAAAGAAUCACCUAUGUAAGCAUGAAGUUUGUGCUUCAAGAAGUUUGGACUGGCUUCCUAUAUGCUUAUUAAUGGAUAAGGACACAUGGCUUGUAAAGUGUCAAGUAUGAAUAGUAGAGUAUUGUAAGAAACAUAUGUGUACUAUAUCUUCUGACAUUCAAAUGGAUUGACGGGUUCAAUCGCUAUGACACCAGAUUUUCGAGUGUUGAAAUGUGUAUUUGUACUAAAAUGAAAAUUCAAUCGCAAGACAUUUUCGUUUAUGCAUCUGUUUGAUUGUAAAUACCCUUAUAUAUUUUAUGUUAUAUUAAGUAAAUCAAGGAUUACACUAAAAUGGGGGGGAUUUGUUGGUGAUUUUAUAUCACCCAUGAUUUUAGUAGUAAUGAGUUUACUAUAGGCCGAUGCAAUUAUGCGUUAAAGCUUGGAAACGAGUUAGGAGUAGUGCGGAGUGCACGCUCGUAGAGCCAACGUGUAAUUGACUGCAAGUAAUUGAAAACGGGUUCCAAGGGCGUAGCCCUGGCGGGGUGCGGGCAGGCGCCCGCUGGGGUUCCAAGGGGCGAAGCCCUUGGCGGGUGCGGGCAGCGCCCUGCCGGGUCCAAGCCGUUAUUACCGUUUUCUUGAAAAGGUAUGACUUUUCGUUUUCAGUUUUCGUUCUCCUAUAAAGGGGGAAAUCUGGCCUCGGUUAGGGUUACACACAAAAAACCAUUCUACGUUCCAGAAUCUUUCUUUGCCAGAAACAUUCUUUCUUCAAGAUUAACCAACAAAGAUUUCGUGAACCCAGGCAUAAAUAGGGUCGAAAUACUUUGUUCGGAAAGUGAACGAACACGAUUCUUCGAAGAUUAUCCAGGAUUAUCAAUUAAUUAUCUAACAGGAAAUAACAUUUAUGUACAUUGGACGGUAUUAUCCGAGUCUAACGAUGGAUUUUAGCGUUCUUGCAUUAGGAAACAUGUUCUUGCAUUAGGAAGCAUGUCACCAUUGUUGGAAAUGGUCUGGAAGAUAUUUGUGUAUCAAAAUAUUGUGUUGAGCAUGAGAAAUCCUCAUUAUAGGUCGACACAUACGACUACAAGUCGACCCAUAUAUGACUUUUUUAAACUUCAGGUUGUUACAUACGUUGCAGUAUUAAAGUCUGCAGCUUCUAUCUCAUGUGUCGAGUCUUCAGGUCGGCCUAUAGGCAGCACAUAACAUUACAGGUCAACACAUGCUUCCAACAUGUCGAACAUAGGUCAUACACUACCGAAGAAGGAAAAUCACAACUCUCUUUAUUUCAUAGCAAAGAUUACUACAUCAUGUGAUCAUAAUAUCACAAAACAUUGAAAACAAAGUCACCAAACUAGAUGGGUGCAGCUUCUCUCAACCCUUUAUUCUUCAUUGAUCACAUCACCACGCUCUAAUUUAGAACUGUAAAUCAAGAAAAAUAGAAAUCAUAUUUAAUAAAAUUAAUAAAAAGAAAGCGCUAGAACAAGAACAUGCAAUAAUAAAUAAAAAAGAAAUUAUGUGAUUAUUAAUUACGUACCGCAACCAAAAGAUGGAAGGUUGCACAAAGAAGUAAGUUGAGAACCGAUUCUGAGAGUGUUACAGAGACAAUCACGGUUGGUUGCUUGAAGUGCAUUGCAGCAGUCAGCACUAGGGUUAGUGUUGGAG
Molecule: long non-coding RNA, 11446 nt
Filed under: Lathyrus oleraceus (garden pea)
Lineage: Eukaryota; Viridiplantae; Streptophyta; Magnoliopsida; Fabales; Fabaceae
Description: Pisum sativum (pea) long non-coding RNA (PSAT_LNC040527)
Source: RNAcentral